GUGGUAUUGUAGGGCAGACGUCUCUUCGUAAUUUUUAGGAAAGGGAGGUCAGUCACUAGUCGUUAACAGGGAGGAGAGGAGCACUUCCGCAGGCCCAGAGGGCUCAGGAAAAUCUGGGUACUCGUGAUUUUUUAAUGUAUCAACUCAGAUAUCCCCACCCCAUAUCUUAGGUUUCCAUUACUUCCCAAUCAGGGUCCUGACCUUGGAGUAGUAAAUGGGCCAACGAAGUGAGAACAAAACCUCUCCUUGAGUUCUGAUACUCUCAAAUUAAGUCCUGGAUCUAAUCCCAAAUUUUUCUUGUCCUCUGGUUGUAAAAGAUGACAGUCAUUUUUAUACACUGCUGAGGAGGCCCCCGCUUGGACACAAACACUUUAAUUGGUGAUUAAUCACUCAGCUGUUUACUGUCUGCCCCUAAAUCAUUGAUUGAUCCCAGCAAUGUGCAUCCAAAUAGCUGACAUAUUGCAUCAGCCUGUGUGUUCCCUUCCACGAGUCCACAGGCCCAGAUCUCCACUGGUGAAAGUUUUAACAAUUGGACUGCUACCUAUGCGAGGAGCCUUCCAUGCUUCCCCUACCAGUGAGGGGGUCCUUACGGCAGGCAGGCCAACUCUUCAUCCUUAUACAAAAUCCCACUUCAGAGUCUCCUUCCUCAGACCACACCGGGGUCUUGGGCAGCAGAAUCUGAGACAGAGAAUCAGGUGCAGGAAGUUCAUUGGAGAGUGUGUGAGUUCAACCUCUAGAGGGAAUGAAUGAAGCAAGAUUGGGCUCCUGGAGAAGGUGACUACAACACUCUUGCAACAAAAGCCUCAGCCACUUCUAAGGCCUUUAACGUCUUAAUUGACCAAUCGUUGGACACAGGUAAGGGGCGGUGAGCCUCUGGUGAGAGGACCGUCUUCAAUGAAAGGCAAUUACUGGAGACAGGUGCAACUGAGAACUGUUGGUCAUCAACACACCCAGUAAGUGAAGAGUGAGCGCUUCUAUCCUGGAGCAGGAUCUGGGCCAGCACCCAGCACUUUCAAACAUUCAGUGAGAGUGAAGAGGGACCCCAUUCCUGACCUGUGGAGUGACGAGGAAGGCACUGGAUGUUCUCUCCAGGAGAGAGGUUCAGUGACCUUAGGGAAUGGCUGACGACCAGAGGAUACCUGGAAAGGUCGGUGCCGGGGCUGUGGUUUCGUCUAUGUGCCAUGAAGAAGGAACUAUGCUUUGUCAAACUCAUCUUGCCUCCUUGAUGAUCAGAGGCCUGGCUUGGCACUGAAGACAGAAAUCUAAGACGGUCCCACGCCAUUGAGUCAGCAAUAUAGUCAACCUCACCUUCCCAGGCGUUUAGUUGCAAGAGACUAAAUGUGAAACUUCUAUAAUAAAAAGUAGCAGCAGAAUUGCUAUUUUUACUCAACCUUUACAUAACUUGAGAAUUCUCAGUCUCUAAAUCUCGGCUGUUUCUAAGUGUGGCAGGCCUCCAAGGAGAGCUUUCACGUCAGUAGUUCUGGUGGGGCUGAGUAAUGUCCCUUGAAGUUGUCUCUGGUUUUCUCAAUGGGCCACUGCUGGCCUCGCAAGGAAUCCUGGGGAGAAGUCAGGCUGUGUAUAAGACAGGGCAAGGAGGAUGGUGUGCGCUCCUAAACUGAACUCUAGAUGUACCAGAAAGAAGGGGCAGAUUAUCCAACCACUAUCCUAGACGUGGAAGACCGUGGAACCAAAAAUAAUUAGGAAAGCGACAGCAAAGCAGUAAAUAAAACUAGAUGUCAUAAUUCAUUAUCCCUUUGGACUAAAUGGGCUUUAAAACGUCCAGAAAGUCUCAUCAAAGUUCACAAGUAAAAGUAAAGGGUUAUUGCAAAGAGCAAAGGAGAUAAUGGACAUGAAAAUACUUUGUAAAUUGCGAAGGUUAUUCUAGAGGUUCCCACUGGAGUUCUGGAUUCCCAGGAUACACAGCAACCAGCUGUAUGGGACUUUGGAAGAUAAUGGUCACCCUCUCCCCUUUGGCCUCCUCUUUCCUUUUCCACUCUAAACUACAGCUGUCUCAGGCAAUGACUACAGAUUCUGCUUUGGGAUUUAGAUUCGGAGGAAAAGGGAGGAGGGAGAAAUAAAAAGAUUAUGAAAUUCGGCCAAAAGAAUAAGAAAGGGUAAAAUCAGGGGAAAUUCACCUGUCUGAUGCAAAGUUAAACUGCUGGCUUUAAUGUGACUGCAUGGGAACUUGGGUUUAUUAAUGAAUACAACAUACCCUCUUUGAUUUGAAAGCUUUCACCCUGCUGAAAAGAUUCAAAAGGCAUCGCUUCCUGCACCAGCGGCAUUCCUUUAUCCGUCUCAGUGGUUCACCCCUACCCAGCUGCUAUAUCUCAUUAACAAGCAUUUGACCACUGCAGCCGGCCUGGGAGUGUUGACACUUGAAAGGCCCAGGCAGGCGUGGGCAGGCCAUCAGCUAUGGCAACAGGAAACUGCCCCGGAGACAACACUGAGAAAACAGCAGCUGCAAGAGCCAAAGUCAGAACAGACAUAAAGGGUUGCCUAUAUCCACGUCGGUCUGGGGUAUCGGUGCGUGCCUGUGGGCCUGAAUUCACACGUCUAUUUACUAUAUUUAUGGGAUAUAAAGGUUGCUAUCAACAUGUCUCUAACACUGGACUUGCUGACAACACAGAAUGAUUUUUUGACUUUCAGUGUUCUCGAAUCCUCAGGUUUCCAGAAUCUUCCUCAUCUCCUUUUAAUGUAACUUCUUGUUUAUGCACAUAAGGACGUUCACUAGAGGCCUUAAACUUGAUAGACACGUUCACUCUGGUGAAAGUCACAGUGACAAUAAAAAAUAUAUAUGCCUGAAUCCUUACCCAUUUUUCAUGCUACCACAUUAUUUUUAAAAACAAGUCAACUUGUAAAACUGUCACAUAAAUACGUAAGAUUACUCUGAAAGUCUUUGGCUUAGGAAUCAAACUGUGAUGGUUUUAUGUAGAAUAUUUAAGAAUGAAACAGUCAUUUCAAUUGUGUAAAGGUAGCUCAUAAAAUUGUGGGAUGUUCCACUUAUUAUUGAUCAUAAUAAUUUCAAAUACCUAUGUUAAUAAAAUUCAUUUACUAUUCUUUGAAUUGUAGGCUACACAGCAUCACACCCUUGAAUCUACUUCUAAAUGUUGUUUCUAUAUUCAUCUGAGGAGCUCAAAGUACACAUACCAAUUGGAAUGUUUCAUGCAAUGUUUGGGGCAAGUAUUUCUCCAAAUCUGGUGUGUCUCUGUCCAAGCCUAUAAGAGCGUUUUUAGAGGAUAGGUAAGCAAUAGUUCAAAAUCAAAGUUUUUCAUCCAGAAGGAAAAUGACCCUUUUCAAAACAGGAAAAAGAGGUCACUCCAUAUUAGGGGAGAAAAGAAAGCUAAAUGAAAAAAGACACUAAUACAAUGUGUUAUAAGUGAAAGUAGUUGACUGCCACUCAAAGACUAGUGAAUUAUUUUCCUGUCAUCAUCAGUACAAUAGACUAUUAGUGGUUAUUACACUGACAUGCUAAUAAAUGACUAGUACUUUAAUAAGACUACUAAUACUUUUAUUCUUUUCAAUAAUUUAGAUUUAUUUACAUUUGUCUAUCAGUCAUCAUAAAAACUACCCUAAUUUAUUCGCAUUGUUACACUAAAAUGGUUAAUUAGAUAAAAAGCAUGUGAAUUUCUUUAAAAUUAUUGCCUAUUAACUCUUUUUUUUGCCAGAAAAUGUUUCUUGAGUACAGUGAGUUUCCAACUCUAUCUUCAUCCAUGUAUUUUUUUUCUUUCGCCUUUUAUGCUCCAGGAGAAGAGACGAAUGUACCAACCGCCACUGGAAAUUUAUAUUCUUGAUGAUAUGGUAGAUACAGAAACAUCCUCCUGAGGGUCAUUAAAA
Equus caballus (horse) is the source of this 3834-nucleotide long non-coding RNA. NCBI's taxonomy places the organism in Eukaryota, Metazoa, Chordata, Mammalia, Perissodactyla, Equidae. The record is from Ensembl.